UACGAAGGGGGCUAGCGUUGCUCGGAAUUACUGGGCGUAAAGCGCACGUAGGCGGCUUCUUAAGUCGGUGGUGAAAUCCUGGAGCUCAACUCCAGAACUGCCUUCGAUACUGGGAGCUCGAGUCCGGGAGAGGUGAGUGGAACUGCGAGUGUAGAGGUGAAAUUCGUAGAUAUUCGCAAGAACACCAGUGGCGAAGGCGGAC
This 202-nucleotide ribosomal RNA is filed under the name uncultured bacterium. RNAcentral's name for it is "partial 16S ribosomal RNA". It matches the Rfam family "Bacterial small subunit ribosomal RNA", at positions 524 to 725 of the family's 1533-position model. The record is from RNAcentral.